GCUCAGAACGAACGCUGGCGGCGUGGCUAAAACAUGCAAGUCGCACGCGAAACGUCAUGGUAGCUUGCUACCAGAGACAAGUAGAGUGGCGAAAGGGCGAGGAAUACUUGGGUAACGUACCCUUAGCACAGGGAUAGCUGUGGGAAACCGCAGGUAAUACCUGAUGAUAUCACAGAAUCCACGGGUUUUGUGAUCAAAGGGUGGCCUCUUCUUGAAAGCUACCGGCUUUGGAGCGGCCCAAGUCCUAUCAGCUAGUUGGUGAGGUAACGGCUCACCAAGGCUUCGACGGGUAUCGGGACUGAGAGGUUGGCCCGACGCAUCGGAACUGAGACACUGUCCGGACUCCUACGGGAGGCUGCAGUAACGAAUAUUGGACAAUGGGCGAAAGCCUGAUCCAGCGACGCCGCGUGCAGGAAGAAGUCCUUCGGGAUGUAAACUGCUGUCAGGGACUACCAAGCAAUCAGGGUUAAUAAUCCUGUGCGUUGAGGCGUCCCAGAGGAAGCCACUGCUAACUUCGUGCCAGCAGCAGCGGUAAUACGAAGGUGGCGAGCGUUGUUCGGAAUCACUGGGCUUAAAGAGCAUGUAGGCGGAUUGUCAAGCGUCUUGUGAAAGCCCUCGGCUUAACCGGGGAAUUGCUGGGCGAACUGACAGUCUUGAGGCAGGUAGGGGCAGAUGGAACUCUUGGUGGAGCGGUGGAAUGCGUAGAUAUCAAGAGGAACGCCAGAGGCGAAAGCGAUCUGCUGGGCCUGACCUGACGCUGAGAUGCGAAAGCCAGGGGAGCGAACGGGAUUAGAUACCCCGGUAGUCCUGGCCAUAAACGAUGUCAACUAGGUCGGAGGUUCUCUGACGGAUUUCCGGCCGAAAUGAAAACGUUUAGUUGACCGCCUGGGGAGUACGGUCGCAAGGCUAAAACUCAAGGGAAUUGACGGGUGCUCACACAAGCGGUGGAGCAUGUUGCUUAAUUCGAUGCAACGCGAAGAACCUUAUCCUGGGCUUGACAUGCGUGGAUGCCUACCUGGAACCAGGAUCGGCUGCCAUUCGGGGUGAAACUUGCACAGGUGCUGCAUGGCUGUCGUCAGCUCGUGUCGUGAGAUGUCGGGU
Molecule: ribosomal RNA, 1101 nt
Filed under: uncultured organism
Description: bacterial SSU rRNA
Rfam family: Bacterial small subunit ribosomal RNA
Source: RNAcentral